GCCACCGUAGCUCAGCUGGUAGAGCAGCUGAUUUGUAAUCAGCCGGUCGGGGGUUCAAAUCCUCUCGGUGGCU
RNAcentral lists this transfer RNA (73 nucleotides) under Nitrospirota bacterium. RNAcentral describes it as "Nitrospirae bacterium (sediment metagenome) tRNA-Thr". It matches the Rfam family "tRNA". From Rfam's summary of the family: Transfer RNA (tRNA) molecules are approximately 80 nucleotides in length. Their secondary structure includes four short double-helical elements and three loops (D, anti-codon, and T loops). The record is from RNAcentral. Lineage: Bacteria; Pseudomonadati; Nitrospirota.